GCUGGGAGGAAGAUGAAUGGAGUCGAGAUAAAAAAUGGAGAGAUGGACACCGAGAAACAGUGUAGUGUUUUCGAUCUCCUUCGUAAAUGAUUUUUUACACCGGUUACAAUGUUUAACAGGUAUAAGAGAAGUUUUUCAAUUUUAUAUUUUUUUAUUAUAUUAUUUUUAUACCGAUUAUAGGUUUAACCGGUAUAAAAUUAUAUUUUAUACCUGUUUAAAGGGUGGUGUAAAAAAGUUU
RNAcentral lists this long non-coding RNA (238 nucleotides) under Vigna radiata. RNAcentral's name for it is "long non-coding RNA (VRAD_LNC001879)". The record is from RNAcentral. Lineage: Eukaryota; Viridiplantae; Streptophyta; Magnoliopsida; Fabales; Fabaceae.